Molecule: non-coding RNA, 177 nt
Organism: Chiloscyllium plagiosum (whitespotted bambooshark)
Lineage: Eukaryota; Metazoa; Chordata; Chondrichthyes; Orectolobiformes; Hemiscylliidae
Source: RefSeq, a predicted model, not a curated record
CUCUGUAUGCAGAACUGCUCCCUAACCUCUCUCCUAUAGGAGCAAGCAAAAAUUCCCAUCAUCUAAGUCACUGGAUAAGGCUCUAGACUUUUCCAAAAUCUAAAAUACUGAUAGACUGAAAACCUACCAAGGAAAACCUGCAAAGCUGACUGGCUUUUAAAUGUGAUUUUAUUUUUU